CCCAAGGGAUGGCUGGAAGCCACGGGCGGGGGGGCUCGUGGGCCCCUGGGGACUGUGUCAUCACACGGGGACCUGUGAACCCUCACCCACAUUGCUGCACGUCCCGUCAGUCACCCUGACAUCUCUACCUCUCCUAUGGGAGCGCCCUGUGUCAUGCAGGUCCGCGGCAGGGUGCAUGUCGGGGUUUGGGGAAGGGUGGAGCAGAGACAGGUCCUGAGCAGGACAUGGAGGGGCUCCACAGUCUGUACUGUGACAUCCCAGACGGGUGGAGGUGGCAUGAACGGCGCGCCCAGAGCAGGAAGAGCACUGUGCACAGCCAGAUAGGAGUGAGGACAGACACUAGUGGAAAUCGGGGCACAGAGGGGUGCACCUGGGAGCUGGGCCAUGGGCUCUGCACGAUCUGUUGCUCAGCACCCCCAGGGCCGGCCUGAGCAGCCCCUAUGCGUGGACCACCUUCCGUCUCUUCCAGUGCCCCGUCACCGGACUCAAGGUGCAUCCUUGUACUGACCUGGGAGAUGGCAAGACUGUGGACCCACUGGCUGGACAGACACCAAGGCCUAGAGUGACACAAUUCAAACAGAGGCCUGGCAUCAGGAGCUGGGGAGUGGAAGGGCCUAGCAGAGGGCCACGUGGGCUGUCCUAGGCCCACUCCAGCCAAAGCGUGGCAAAGCGUAUGGCCAGCAUGACCAGGGAAUGGCCUUGCUACGUGUACGGGAAGAGGGGCUAAAGGAUAUUGAGGGAGGAAUGGGGGGCCUAGGGUCCUCAAAGGCCCUGGCCACACCCUCUUUUGGCUCUCUGGCCCUCAGUUCUGGGAGCCUAUGGGUGCCCGGUCACCCCACCUAGUCCGGAGAGGGACCUUGCACACCCUGCAGGUGAAUUGGAGGUUUCCUGCAGUGUGGUGACCUGUGGAGGCAGGCAGAACAGCUGUGGAGGACAUCUGAGCCUCUCCUAGAGGGCUGAGCCUGAACACAGCAGCCCUGGCAUUGAGACCACCCUGGCAGCUCCCGGGACCCUCUGCCAUGCUGCCGGUCUGAGGAUGCCAUUCUUCUGGAGGCAAAGUGGGGGCCGCUUGGUUCUGAGCGUUUUUAUCUCCCAGUUAGUUCUAGGAGGGCAAUCCUCCCAUCCCCAAAUCCUGAUCCAGAUGAGCUGAGCUAGAGGUUAGCACAGGGUAGACGGCAGCAAGCUUGUCCUUAUGGUCCGUACUCCAGAACAGUUGUUCACAGAGGUCCUGCGUUUUCUUCAAGACAAAACCCACCUAGGCCAGAUGUAGCCAGAUCACUGUGGGUUCUUGGAUUUCUCUAAAGAUCUGACCUGGUGACAGACUGUUGCUGGAGGCCCUGAAGGCCUGGGGCCUGGCCACAGCAGUGUAGUUAUCUUUGCUGAGUUGGGCUGGGCUGAGCAGGGCUUCUGUCCUCAGCGUUAGCACUCAGGUCUGGCUGAACCCCCACCCCACCCUCAGGGCUCUGGGCAGGGGAAGGGUCAAGGACAGGGCUGGAGGUGCAGUUCGCAGGGGAGUCACACCUGUGGUCAUCCUGAGUCAUAGCACUCUGCCUGGCCUGUGCUCUCCCAGCAGGCUGCAGGGCCUGAGCUAUGGAGCCGGAUCAUCAUGGCUCCGGAUGCGUCUGGGGUCUCCAAGAGGCAGAAGUGCUGAUCCCUGGCUCCAAACCUGGCACGGCCACAGCAAGGGAGCACUACUAAACCCCGGACCGAACCCCAGGAAGGAAACUGGAUUCAACAGCCCUUCCAGAGUCUGCAGUAGGCUCCCUGCCUUGCACCUAGUAGGGUGUGCCUGGGGCUAAGAACAAGUUCUCAAGGGGGCCCAGCUCCUCCACUAUAAUUUUAAAGCAAACUUCCACAUUUGAUGGUUGUCCAAACUUGGCAGCCCAAUUUGUAAAAUUCACUAUCUGAAGUGAGAAGUACGUUUUCCUCUGUGCUCCGGGCAGGGCAGAUCCCCUCUGCAUGUGAAUGCCACCGUGCACCAUCUCCGGAGGUGACACAUGCCACUCUGCACGGCAAGUGGUGCUCGGGAGGGCAGUGGAAGCUGAGCAGGCAGGCACGUCCCCAGGUAAGGGGACACACUCCUUCCACAGAGAGACCUGGACGCGGGGGACAGAAGCCUGACGGCACAGCACAAACACUUCAAGUGCGGCAGAGCAGCACCACCCGGCAUCUCUGGUGCCACCCCGGCCCAAGACCCGCAGCUAAAGGAGAAAGCAGGAGCCAGAGAGAAGGCCUUGGUCAGGCAGGCAGACUUGGGUGUGUUCUGCUUUCCCACUUCAGAAAGACUCGCUGAGGUCUGGUUGAGUGAAGACAGACGAGACACGCACAACCGCAGACUUAGACCAAGUAUACAUUUGAGUUUCUACAAGGCCCCCAUCACGUUUAGGGAAAUACAGCUCAAGUGUAUACAAAUUACACUGAUAGUAUAUACAAAAGUAUUUGCUACAUUUUUUGAACAAUACCAGCUAUUUAAUUUGCAGUAAAUAGAACGUUACAAAACCAGUCCAGUAAUGCAUUUUCUAUUAAGCACAUUAUACAACAUAAUUCAAUUUUAUUAAACAUUAACUUCAAAAUAAGACCAGUCCUCUGUAGGAAGAAAAGCUACUUCUGUAAUUCACUUAGUAAACACACAAGUCCAACACUGCAGCAGGGCCAGCCUUUUCUGAGGAAAAGCAGAGGCUUCAGGGGCCUCCCUUUUGGGAUAAAAUCCUACCCGCCCACAGCUGUGAUGGGCAGAGGCGCUGCCCAGGUACAUAGGAUUCCAGAGCCCCCCCGCCAUUGCCUGUGACAACCGUCCUCACAACUGCUGAUGUAAUCACACGGACCCUUAAGAUCCAAGGGAGGCAGAGAUGCGGAGUGCGCCAGCCAAGGGCUCAGGAGCCAGGUAGAAGGGAAGCAGAGCCUCCUGAGCCUUCCUUGAGGGCGAGGCCACUGAGCCCCGCCUUCAGCCUUGGAGAGCCUGAGCAGAGAACCCAGCCAGACCACGCAGCCCUGGGGCCGGCACAGAACACAAGUGUGCUCCUUAAGCUGCAAGACGUGGCUCAUUUGUCACACCAGGCAACAAAGAGCUAACACACUGCCAGGAGUCACUUCCUUCAUCUAACAGAUCUGGCAGUUUGUGUUCAGGCUUGGAAUGCAUUUUUCCUCUCCAGCUGCUAUAUUAAAACAGUAUCCUCCUUUGCAGGCAACUUUUGAAAAGCCUUAAUAUGAACCACACGUUGUUUUAUGUUCAUUCUCAAGUCAGUUCCGACAUCUGACUCAGUUCUGUUUUCUCAGGAACUGCUAUCUGCUACCAAGGUAAACAGCUGCCCACCAGCCUUGUUCACAUAGUGCCUCCUGCAGGGACCGAGCCCAGGACCUCGCUCUACUUCAGAGCUCCACUGCUGCCCCUGGACAGCAGCUCUGACACAUCUCCUGUCAUCCCCCAGCUGGGGGGUCUCUGCUACUUCCCAGACAUGCCAAGCAAAGGCUUGGGGCAGGAGAGCACAGACUUCAACACUGGGCACCUGAAGGACUUCCCCAGCAUAACUGGACUAAAUUGGCACCAAGGUGAUUAAGUACACUUGGGGAAAAACUGCAAACAUAAGAUUUUAAAAAAACACACCAGUUUUUACAGGUCGAGUCAUUUUUGGAAGAACCACGCAAAGCCAUGAACCAGGGUCCCUGUGGCCCCUGGAUGGACUCCUCAUGUCUCUGCCCUGGGUUUCCUGGUUCACAGGUGGCUUCACUCAGCUGGCAGGGACUCAGCAGAAACAGGA
This is a long non-coding RNA of Fukomys damarensis (Damara mole-rat), 3758 nucleotides long. RefSeq lists it as uncharacterized. The record is from RefSeq and is a predicted model, not a curated record. The transcript is spliced from 2 exons. NCBI's taxonomy places the organism in Eukaryota, Metazoa, Chordata, Mammalia, Rodentia, Bathyergidae.